RNAcentral lists this long non-coding RNA (1119 nucleotides) under Oryctolagus cuniculus (rabbit). RNAcentral describes it as "lncRNA (ENSOCUG00000033004.1)". The record is from RNAcentral. Lineage: Eukaryota; Metazoa; Chordata; Mammalia; Lagomorpha; Leporidae.
AUGUGUCUUGGCACGGACUCCACUUUCUUGGCCUUGUGUGUGUCCCUGGCCUCCCUUUGUCCCGCUCCGGGCCUUUCUAGACUUUGGAAAGCCGGCUGUGGGGAAGGGGAAGCUGGAAUCCAGGGGCAGACCGGCCCCAGUCCCCCACCCCCGGGUCUCUUCUGCUCCAGGAAGGGUGCUGGGGGUUCCCGCCCGUGGGAGAGGCUGGGAAGCCGGCGAGGCCUUUGGGAGACGGUUUGCAGGCCCAGGCUGGCGAGGGAGCCGAGGGGCUCGGGGCGCGUCCGUCCCCGUGCAGCGCGGCGGCUGGCAGUGCUGCCCUCCGGCGGGUCCCGGAGAGCCGGGCGCCCGCGGCCGUGCAGACGGCUGUGCUGCUGCGGGGCUCGCUCCCAGGCCUGGCGCGGGGCCACCGCCGCCGCCGCCGCCGCCCCCCUCCCGGCGCGCGGGCUGCGCUCCAGUCGCGGCCACGGGGUAGCGCUCGGCCCCCCUCUCCGCGUCUCCGCCUCCGCCGCGCUCGUCCCCGGCUCACGCUGCCCCCGCAGCUCCAGCUCGGCGCAGGCAGAAGCGGCUCUCAGGACGCCGAGCCCGCGGGAAGCGGCGGGCGGCGGGCUCGGCGAGCGGCGGCAGCGCGGCUCCUCCAGGCCGACCGUGAGGCGAACGUGGCGGGCUCCGCGCCCCCGGAGCCGGAGCUGCCUGCCGGGCUCUCCGUGCGUCUCGCCGAGAGCGCCGGUCCGGGUGCGGUGGAGGGCAGAGCGGCCGAUCUUCAUCCUUGGCCGGGCGGGAGGCUGCGCGCCCGGGCGCCGGCGACAGCCGGGGCUGCCCAGCCCAGCAGCCGCCCCCGCCGCCCAGCCGCCGGCGCGGACAUGGGCGCGCGGAGCUGCGCGCCGAGCCGCGGGACCCGCAAAGUUUGCUAGGCGGCUGGGCGCGGAGCCGAGGGCGCGCCUGGCCCCGGCAUCCCCGGAGCGGACAGCGAGCGUCCGGAUUCGGCGCGAGGGCUGUGCAGCCGAGAGGAGGCGGCUUGGCCCCGCCAGAUGUCGCCUGCAAAGUUCGAGAAGAAAACUUCAGCUCCAGGGAGACCCGGUCCGUUAUGCUAACUGCGCCCCCCGCCACUGGCACCUCUGA